RNAcentral lists this ribosomal RNA (519 nucleotides) under uncultured eukaryote. RNAcentral's name for it is "SSU rRNA". It matches the Rfam family "Eukaryotic small subunit ribosomal RNA", at positions 1161 to 1696 of the family's 1831-position model. The record is from RNAcentral.
AGGGCACCACCAGGAGUGGAGCCUGCGGCUUAAUUUGACUCAACACGGGAAAACUCACCCGGCCCGGACACUGGAAGGAUUGACAGAUUGAGAGCUCUUUCUUGAUUCAGUGGGUGGUGGUGCAUGGCCGUUCUUAGCUGGUGGAGUGAUUUGUCUGGUUAAUUCCGAUAACGAACGAGACUCUAGCCUAUUAAAUAGAUCGUUGGCUUACAAACGCCGGCGAGACUUCUUAGAGGGACAGGCGGCGAUUCAGCCGCACGAAACAGAGCAUUUUACAGUUUUUGUGAUGCCCUUAGAUGUCCGGGGCCGCACGCGCGCUACACUGAAGUGAUCAGCGUGCAUUUUGAAACCUACUCUGUCAAGAGUGGGGAACCCAAUGAACCUUCUUCGUGAUUGGGAUAGGGGAUUGUAAUUAUUCCCCUUGAACGAGGAAUUCCCAGUAAGCGCGAAUCAUAAGUUUGCGCUGAUUACGUCCCUGCCCUUUGUACACACCGCCCGUCGCUACUACCGAUUGAAUGU